RNAcentral lists this ribosomal RNA (1465 nucleotides) under Vibrio parahaemolyticus K5030. RNAcentral describes it as "bacterial SSU rRNA". It matches the Rfam family "Bacterial small subunit ribosomal RNA". Lineage: Bacteria; Pseudomonadati; Pseudomonadota; Gammaproteobacteria; Vibrionales; Vibrionaceae. The record is from RNAcentral.
AUUGAACGCUGGCGGCAGGCCUAACACAUGCAAGUCGAGCGGAAACGAGUUAUCUGAACCUUCGGGGAACGAUAACGGCGUCGAGCGGCGGACGGGUGAGUAAUGCCUAGGAAAUUGCCCUGAUGUGGGGGAUAACCAUUGGAAACGAUGGCUAAUACCGCAUGAUGCCUACGGGCCAAAGAGGGGGACCUUCGGGCCUCUCGCGUCAGGAUAUGCCUAGGUGGGAUUAGCUAGUUGGUGAGGUAAGGGCUCACCAAGGCGACGAUCCCUAGCUGGUCUGAGAGGAUGAUCAGCCACACUGGAACUGAGACACGGUCCAGACUCCUACGGGAGGCAGCAGUGGGGAAUAUUGCACAAUGGGCGCAAGCCUGAUGCAGCCAUGCCGCGUGUGUGAAGAAGGCCUUCGGGUUGUAAAGCACUUUCAGUCGUGAGGAAGGUAGUGUAGUUAAUAGCUGCAUUAUUUGACGUUAGCGACAGAAGAAGCACCGGCUAACUCCGUGCCAGCAGCCGCGGUAAUACGGAGGGUGCGAGCGUUAAUCGGAAUUACUGGGCGUAAGCGCAUGCAGGUGGUUUGUUAAGUCAGAUGUGAAAGCCCGGGGCUCAACCUCGGAAUUGCAUUUGAACUGGCAGACUAGAGUACUGUAGAGGGGGGAGAAUUUCAGGUGUACGUGAAAUGCUAAGUCUGAAGGAUACCGUGGCGAAGCGGCCCCCUGGACAGAUACUGACACUCAGAUGCGAAAGCGUGGGGAGCAAACAGGAUUAGAUACCCUGGUAGUCCACGCCGUAAACGAUGUCUACUUGGAGGUUGUGGCCUUGAGCCGUGGCUUUCGGAGCUAACGCGUUAAGUAGACCGCCUGGGGAGUACGGUCGCAAGAUUAAAACUCAAAUGAAUUGACGGGGGCCCGCACAAGCGGUGGAGCAUGUGGUUUAAUUCGAUGCAACGCGAAGAACCUUACCUACUCUUGACAUCCAGAGAACUUUCCAGAGAUGGAUUGGUGCCUUCGGGAACUCUGUGACAGGUGCUGCAUGGCUGUCGUCAGCUCGUGUUGUGAAAUGUUGGGUUAAGUCCCGCAACGAGCGCAACCCUUAUCCUUGUUUGCCAGCGAGUAAUGUCGGGAACUCCAGGGAGACUGCCGGUGAUAAACCGGAGGAAGGUGGGGACGACGUCAAGUCAUCAUGGCCCUUACGAGUAGGGCUACACACGUGCUACAAUGGCGCAUACAGAGGGCGGCCAACUUGCGAAAGUGAGCGAAUCCCAAAAAGUGCGUCGUAGUCCGGAUUGGAGUCUGCAACUCGACUCCAUGAAGUCGGAAUCGCUAGUAAUCGUGGAUCAGAAUGCCACGGUGAAUACGUUCCCGGGCCUUGUACACACCGCCCGUCACACCAUGGGAGUGGGCUGCAAAAGAAGUAGGUAGUUUAACCUUCGGGGGGACGCUUACCACUUUGUGGUUCAUGACUGGGGUGA